GAAGAACUACGAUGCCCAGAAAGCUCAGCGACACUACAACUCCCAAUGGACUUAGCGGAGAGCCUGCCUCCUUCCCGGAGCUGAUGCGCGCGGUCACUUUUGGGAUUUGUAGUUGUUCCUGAGCCCGAGAUAAGCAACGUGUUUGGGACUGGGGUAUCACAUUGCUUGGUUUCUCAAAGGAUGGAGCAGGAGUGAGACAGAGGGAAAGAAUUCAGAAUUCAAAAUUUUUAAAAAUGAAUGUUAAAAAUAAAAAAGAUUGUGAAUUUCUUGAAG
Long non-coding RNA from Antechinus flavipes (yellow-footed antechinus), 273 nucleotides. RefSeq lists it as uncharacterized. NCBI's taxonomy places the organism in Eukaryota, Metazoa, Chordata, Mammalia, Dasyuromorphia, Dasyuridae. The record is from RefSeq and is a predicted model, not a curated record. The transcript has 2 exons.